AAAAAGAUAAGCUAAUAAAGCUAUUAGGUUCAUACCCUGAUUAUAAGAGUUUUAAUCUCUUUCUUUUUA
RNAcentral lists this transfer RNA (69 nucleotides) under Cucujoidea sp. 36 KM-2017. RNAcentral describes it as "tRNA-Met". It matches the Rfam family "tRNA". Rfam says of the family: Transfer RNA (tRNA) molecules are approximately 80 nucleotides in length. Their secondary structure includes four short double-helical elements and three loops (D, anti-codon, and T loops). Further hydrogen bonds mediate the characteristic L-shaped molecular structure. tRNAs have two regions of fundamental functional importance: the anti-codon, which is responsible for specific mRNA codon recognition, and the 3' end, to which the tRNAs corresponding amino acid is attached (by aminoacyl-tRNA synthetases). tRNAs cope with the degeneracy of the genetic code in two manners: having more than one tRNA (with a specific anti-codon) for a particular amino acid; and 'wobble' base-pairing, i.e. permitting non-standard base-pairing at the 3rd anti-codon position. Lineage: Eukaryota; Metazoa; Arthropoda; Insecta; Coleoptera. The record is from RNAcentral.